GUGGGAUGGUGGCUCAGUGGUAGAGUGCUUGCCUAGCAUGUGUGAGGCACUGGGUUCGUUUCUCAGCACCACA
Molecule: transfer RNA, 73 nt
Filed under: Marmota monax (woodchuck)
Lineage: Eukaryota; Metazoa; Chordata; Mammalia; Rodentia; Sciuridae
Description: tRNA.Ala
Source: RNAcentral